UAAGCUUCGUGUAAAACAUGGUAGAGCC
RNAcentral lists this non-coding RNA (28 nucleotides) under Homo sapiens (human). The record is from RNAcentral. Lineage: Eukaryota; Metazoa; Chordata; Mammalia; Primates; Hominidae.